This 253-nucleotide ribosomal RNA is filed under the name uncultured bacterium. RNAcentral describes it as "partial 16S ribosomal RNA". It matches the Rfam family "Bacterial small subunit ribosomal RNA", at positions 524 to 776 of the family's 1533-position model. The record is from RNAcentral.
UACGUAGGUGGCAAGCGUUGUCCGGAUUUACUGGGCGUAAAGAGCGCGCAGGCGGUCAGAUAAGUCGAAUGUGAAAGCCCCCGGCUCAACUGGGGAGGGUCAUUCGAUACUGUUCGACUCGAAGGCAGGAGAGGGAAGUGGAAUUCCCGGUGUAGUGGUGAAAUGCGUAGAUAUCGGGAGGAACACCAGUGGCGAAGGCGGUUCUCUGGGCCUUACCUGACGCUGAGGAGCGAAAGCGUGGGGAGCGAACAGG